Molecule: non-coding RNA, 77 nt
Organism: Phrynosoma platyrhinos (Desert horned lizard)
Lineage: Eukaryota; Metazoa; Chordata; Lepidosauria; Squamata; Phrynosomatidae
Source: the annotation of a GenBank genome assembly
UUGACAUAGCUCAGAGGCAGAGCAUUUGCUCUGCAUGCAAAAGGUCCCAGGUUUGGACCCUAGCAUCACUUGUUAAG